This 253-nucleotide ribosomal RNA is filed under the name uncultured bacterium. Its description in RNAcentral is "partial 16S ribosomal RNA". It matches the Rfam family "Bacterial small subunit ribosomal RNA", at positions 524 to 776 of the family's 1533-position model. The record is from RNAcentral.
UACGUAGGUGGCAAGCGUUGUCCGGAUUUAUUGGGUUUAAAGGGUGCGUAGGCGGCUUAUUAAGUCAGUGGCGAAAUACUCUAGCUCAACUAGAGGGGUGCCAUUGAUACUGAUGAGCUUGAGUACAGAUGAGGUAGGCGGAAUUGACGGUGUAGCGGUGAAAUGCUUAGAUAUCGUCAAGAACACCUAUAGCGAAGGCAGCUUACUAGGCUGUAACUGACGCUGAGGCACGAAAGUGUGGGGAUCAAACAGG